UCCUGGGGCCUGCGGUCAUAUAUAUAUUACAUAAACAAUAAAAAAAUAUUUCAACGCCAUCUUUUGCGUAUAUGCGGGAAUAAUACCUCAAAUCGAUGUAGUGGUAUGUCAUCCGCUAUACUAAACGGUUUUUGGUUUUAUAAGUGACAGUGAUUUGAAGUAUUCUCAUUUCAAAGUCGAAGGUGGCUGUGCGACGGCAAAUACGUGAUUUUAUUAUAAUUUUCAAGGAUUAUAAGAUACUGAGGUCUACCAACACCUGGAUGAGUCAAAUAUUGACCUAUAUGAUGGACCUAUGGAGUUUCUUGCCGGUUCUUCUCCAUAGAUACUGCUUUCCGAAUCGGUGGUAAAUGUUAAUACUGUUAUGACGAUUCAAAAGUGCUUUUAGAAGAAGUCUAAUUGAAUAAAUAAAUGUUUGAGAUGAAGAUAAUCCCCCAAAUGAUACCGAUGAAGCCGCCCAAACACCAGAAAAUGAGUCUUCUUCCAUUCGUCCAAUGAGUAUGAGUCACGUCAGUACAGAAUCAUCACUAUGUAUGUCAUCUUCAGUUGUUGGCAGACCAUUUCGGGGACGCACAUGACGUGGACCAAGCAUUAGAGGAGGCUGACCAAGAGGAUGGAUUAGAAAUAAGACCUAGGGGUGGACGUGACAAUAUAAAUACCCCGCCGCGCCGGUGCAAAAUACUUGAACUGGUUAUUUCUCACCCCUAAAAAUACCUAUCUUUGAACCAAGUUACAAAAAAUAGAUACAGAACAAUAGAUAGAAUAAUAAAUAUUAGGUUUCAAGUUUAAAAAUAUAUAAUAACUAAAAAAACA
This is a long non-coding RNA of Colias croceus (clouded yellow), 810 nucleotides long. RefSeq lists it as uncharacterized. Lineage: Eukaryota; Metazoa; Arthropoda; Insecta; Lepidoptera; Pieridae. The record is from RefSeq and is a predicted model, not a curated record. The transcript has 2 exons.